Molecule: ribosomal RNA, 965 nt
Filed under: uncultured korarchaeote
Lineage: Archaea; Thermoproteati; Thermoproteota
Description: bacterial SSU rRNA
Rfam family: Archaeal small subunit ribosomal RNA
Source: RNAcentral
UGGCCUAUCAGGUAGUAGGUGGGGUAACGGCCCACCUAGCCUAAGACGGGUACGGGCUCUGAGAGGAGGAGCCCGGAGAUGGGCACUGAGACAAGGGCCCAGGCCCUACGGGGCGCAGCAGGCGGGAAACUUCCCCAAUGCGCGCAAGCGUGAGGGAGUGAGCCCGAGUGCCGCCCGCUGAGGGCGGCUGUUCCCCUGUGUAAAAAGCAGGGGGUAGGAAGGGGAGGGUAAGGCUGGUGCCAGCCGCCGCGGUAAAACCAGCUCCCCGAGGGGUUCCCACGCAUACUGGGCCUAAAGCGUCCGUAGCCGGCCCCGUAAGUCCUCGGUUAAAUCCGCCUGAAGACAGGCGGACCGCCGAGGAUACUGCGGGGCUAGGGAGCGGGAGGGGCCGAGGGUAUUCCGGGGGGAGCGGUAAAAUGCGUAGAUCCCCGGAGGACCACCAGUGGCGAAGGCGCUCGGCUGGAACGCGUCCGACGGUGAGGGACGAAAGCUGGGGGAGCAAACCGGAUUAGAUACCCGGGUAGUCCCAGCCGUAAACGAUGCCGGCUAGGUGCCGGUUGAGGUUUCAGCCUCAGCCGGUGUCGAAGCGAAGGCAUUAAGCCGGCCGCCUGAGGAGUACAGCCGCAAGGCCGAAACUUAAAGGAAUUGACGGGGGGGCACCACAAGGGGUGAAUGCCUGCGGCUCAAUUGGACUCAACGCCGGGAAUCUUACCGGGGGCGACAGCAGGAUGAAGGUCAGGCUGAAGACCUUACCUGACGCGCUGAGGGGUGGUGCAUGGCCGUCGCCAGCUCGUGCCGUGAGGUGUCCUGUUAAGUCAGGCAACGAGCGAGACCCCCGCCCCCAGUUGCCAGCGGGGCCUUACGGCUGGCCGGGCAAACUGGGGGGACUGCCGGCGAAGAGCCGGAGGAAGGAGGGGGCUACGGCAGGUCAGUAUGCCCCUAAUCCCCCGGGCCGCACGCGGGCU